UAUGAUAGAGGUUUCCCGGAUGCCACUGGU
This 30-nucleotide non-coding RNA is filed under the name Rattus norvegicus (Norway rat). The record is from RNAcentral. Lineage: Eukaryota; Metazoa; Chordata; Mammalia; Rodentia; Muridae.